CAAGCCGGAGGUUCCCACUAUGCAGCCCGGAGUCUGUGCAGCCAGAUGACGCAUGAGUUUUUCUGGAGGUUCCACUGAGAUAGGGUUGGGAAUGCCUGUAACCAUGGAUCCCAGCCUAUAACAAGGUGUGGCAGCCACAGAGGCCCUUGUGUCUCACUGCUUACAGCUUAUAGAGUCAAUGCCUACAAGGUUCUCUUUCGGGGUGAAGUCUGGAGGGCUCAUCCAGAGGCCCAUACAAGGAACCCUCUUCACUUCUCAAUGACCUUGACAGCACCGUACUGCAAUCCUGUCACCACAUGGAAAAUCUGAAAACCAACUUUUAAAAU
Long non-coding RNA from Phyllostomus hastatus (greater spear-nosed bat), 326 nucleotides. RefSeq lists it as uncharacterized. NCBI's taxonomy places the organism in Eukaryota, Metazoa, Chordata, Mammalia, Chiroptera, Phyllostomidae. The transcript has 3 exons. The record is from RefSeq and is a predicted model, not a curated record.